This 657-nucleotide ribosomal RNA is filed under the name Parahalioglobus pacificus. RNAcentral's name for it is "bacterial SSU rRNA". It matches the Rfam family "Bacterial small subunit ribosomal RNA", at positions 111 to 764 of the family's 1533-position model. The record is from RNAcentral. Lineage: Bacteria; Pseudomonadati; Pseudomonadota; Gammaproteobacteria; Cellvibrionales; Halieaceae.
UAACGCGUAGGAAUCUACCUGGUAGUGGGGGACAACAUGUGGAAACGCAUGCUAAUACCGCAUACGCCCUACGGGGGAAAGCGGGGGACCUUCGGGCCUCGUGCUAUCAGAUGAGCCUGCGUAAGAUUAGCUAGUUGGUGGGGUAAAGGCUCACCAAGGCGACGAUCUUUAGCUGGUCUGAGAGGAUGAUCAGCCACACUGGGACUGAGACACGGCCCAGACUCCUACGGGAGGCAGCAGUGGGGAAUAUUGCGCAAUGGGCGAAAGCCUGACGCAGCCAUGCCGCGUGUGUGAAGAAGGCCUUAGGGUUGUAAAGCACUUUCAAUUGGGAGGAAAGGUUAUGCGUUAAUAGCGUAUAACUGUGACGUUACCUUUAGAAGAAGCACCGGCUAACUCCGUGCCAGCAGCCGCGGUAAUACGGAGGGUGCGAGCGUUAAUCGGAAUUACUGGGCGUAAAGCGCGCGUAGGCGGUUUAUUAAGUCGGAUGUGAAAGCCCCGGGCUCAACCUGGGAACUGCAUCCGAUACUGGUCGACUAGAGUACGAGAGAGGGAGGUAGAAUUCCACGUGUAGCGGUGAAAUGCGUAGAUAUGUGGAGGAAUACCGGUGGCGAAGGCGGCCUCCUGGCUCGAUACUGACGCUGAGGUGCGAAAGCGUGG